GAUGAACGCUGGCGGCGUGCUUAACACAUGCAAGUCGAACGGAAAGGCCCAAGCUUGCUUGGGUACUCGAGUGGCGAACGGGUGAGUAACACGUGGGUGAUCUGCCCUGCACUUCGGGAUAAGCCUGGGAAACUGGGUCUAAUACCGGAUAGGACCACAUUUUGGAUGGUGUGGUGGAAAGUUUUUCGGUGUGGGAUGAGCUCGCGGCCUAUCAGCUUGUUGGUGGGGUAAUGGCCUACCAAGGCGUCGACGGGUAGCCGGCCUGAGAGGGUGUACGGCCACAUUGGGACUGAGAUACGGCCUAGACUCCUACGGGAGGCAGCAGUGGGGAAUAUUGCACAAUGGGCGCAAGCCUGAUGCAGCGACGCCGCGUGGGGGAUGACGGCCUUCGGGUUGUAAACUCCUUUCGCUAGGGACGAAGCGUUAUGUGACGGUACCUGGAGAAGAAGCACCGGCUAACUACGUG
RNAcentral lists this ribosomal RNA (466 nucleotides) under uncultured bacterium. RNAcentral describes it as "partial 16S ribosomal RNA". It matches the Rfam family "Bacterial small subunit ribosomal RNA", at positions 28 to 507 of the family's 1533-position model. The record is from RNAcentral.